Molecule: ribosomal RNA, 929 nt
Filed under: uncultured bacterium
Lineage: Bacteria
Description: bacterial SSU rRNA
Rfam family: Bacterial small subunit ribosomal RNA
Source: RNAcentral
AGAGUUUGAUCCUGGCUCAGAUUGAACGCUGGCGGCAGGCCUUAACACGUGCAAGUCGAACGGUAGCAGGAUGUGCUUGCACAUCGCUGACGAGUGGCGGACGGGUGAGUAAUGCUUGGGAACUUGCCUUUGCGAGGGGGAUAACAGUUGGAAACGACUGCUAAUACCGCAUAAUGUCUUCGGACCAAACGGGGCUUCGGCUCCGGCGCAAAGAGAGGCCCAAGUGAGAUUAGCUAGUUGGUGAGGUAAAGGCUCACCAAGGCGACGAUCUCUAGCUGUUCUGAGAGGAAGAUCAGCCACACUGGGACUGAGACACGGCCCAGACUCCUACGGGAGGCAGCAGUGGGGAAUAUUGCACAAUGGGGGAAACCCUGAUGCAGCCAUGCCGCGUGUGUGAAGAAGGCCUUCGGGUUGUAAAGCACUUUCAGUUGUGAGGAAAGGUUGGUAGUUAAUACCUGCCAGCUGUGACGUUAAUAACAGAAGAAGCACCGGCUAACUCCGUGCCAGCAGCCGCGGUAAUACGGAGGGUGCGAGCGUUAAUCGGAAUUACUGGGCGUAAAGCGCACGCAGGCGGUUUGUUAAGCUAGAUGUGAAAGCCCCGGGCUCAACCUGGGAUGGUCAUUUAGAACUGGCAGACUAGAGUCUUGGAGAGGGGAGUGGAAUUCCAGGUGUAGCGGUGAAAUGCGUAGAUAUCUGGAGGAACAUCAGUGGCGAAGGCGACUCCCUGGCCAAAGACUGACGCUCAUGUGCGAAAGUGUGGGUAGCGAACAGGAUUAGAUACCCUGGUAGUCCACACCGUAAACGCUGUCUACUAGCUGUGCGUGAAUUUAAUUCGUGCGUAGCGAAGCUAACGCGCUAAGUAGACCGCCUGGGGAGUACGGCCGCAAGGUUAAAACUCAAAUGAAUUGACGGGGGCCCGCACAAGCGGU